Long non-coding RNA from Equus asinus (donkey), 3084 nucleotides. NCBI's taxonomy places the organism in Eukaryota, Metazoa, Chordata, Mammalia, Perissodactyla, Equidae. The record is from Ensembl.
GGGAACCAGACAGACUCAACGCAUGAUCCAGUGAGAUUAUCUUCCAAAGAAAGCAGACAGGAUACCAACAAGCUACCCAGUAGUUGUCAAAUAUAUCACCGCUUUAUAAUUCUGAGAUGAAAAGUAAAUGAAGGAUCCUGACAACCUCCAGAAAGAAAGUUAUGUAUUGGUACCCAUGAGGAAUGACAGAAGAAAAAGAUAAUGUGGUGUCUUGAAGUUCGUCACACAGAAGGAAAUGAUUCCAGUGGAGCUUCUGUGACUCUUUGCCCUCCAAGCAAAUGCCCUAGGACAUUCUCUAGAGGACUGUACUAGAACUGAUGCAACCACUCUGAAGAUCCUUCUAAGCACAAAACUCAGAGAGUCAUGCUCUUGAACAUAACCCAGAUAUUUUAUUGCAAACGUGGAAGACAGACAGACCCUCUGUCAGGGUGAAGAAUUUAUAUGUGUUCUGUGUUAUUUUUACUUACCUUACAAAAAAUGUGACUUGAUUUUACCAUGUAGACUGUCAAAAUCAAUUUUGUGGAGAAUGGCCCUGAAUGGUUCAUUAUCAUUCAUCUUUCUGUUACCGGAUGCCAUAUAAAAGGCUUUCCAUUUUCCUGAAAACUAAAAACACAGUUCCCAUCAGAAACUUUAAUUGUUCUUUUAAAAUUUUUUUCCUGACAUCACCCAUCAUGAGUUUUCCUUCCUUUUUGCAUCAGCACAAAACUCUCUAUCUUUAUUGAACAAAACAGGAUCUACAAAACAAUGUGAAAACAAAAUCAAUGGGAAAACAAGAAAGGAAGAUAUUUCUGAAAUAGCUCAAGCUCUUUUAUGAAAGGCAGAACUCCACUUCAACAUUUCUCUGCUUGGUUCUUCUUGUCUUUGAAAAGUAGGGCAGAAAUGCAUAAGGAUCCAAGUGAUUGACAAUAUAGACAAUACAGAGAAAAUAUAAGACAAGUACAGUGGAAAUUCAUAAGGAGCCAAUUAACAGAGAAAUUCUGAGUUGGAGGUAAAUGGCUAGGCUUAGAUGCAUAUAAAUUUGGAUACACAUAUAACAACCCCAAAAGGACACACACACACACACACCAUGAAGAGUUCCUCCCAGAUCAGCCCAUCCCUCAUACCAGUGAUGGAUUCUUCUUAGACUGAGGUCCCUAUCAGCACAAAGCAAACCAAGUACCAGAGUCAGCAGCAGAAUCUUCAUCUCGUUGGUGCUUGUUGACCUGCUUCUGGAGAAGCUGAGAGUGUGCCGAAUCUUGGAGAGAAUCAGAAUUUGUUCCACUUUUUAUAGUAUUGAUCUGUUGGCAUAACAUGUAAUGAACCAAUGGUUAUUAAACUUAAGACCUUGGUUACAUAUGGCUCAUAAUAUCUUGGUUGGCAGUGGUGAAAUUUAUGGAAUCUAUUAUUUUAAUAAUGGGAUUAGAUUUAAGAGAAGCAUAAAUUGAGCUAGGCCUUUGAUCCUUAGAAUAAGUGAGAGGUCACAAUACAUAUGAGAUGUUUCAAGGACAGUAGUAUUUAUUCUCUCAUAUCUUGAGUCCCAAGUGGGAUAAGCAGUCCAAGACAUGUAUCCUUAUAUGACUCCUAUAGCAUUACUUUACCACUGUGGAGGUAUAUUUAAACUUAUUUUCUGAAACUAAAGCUGUUACUGUCUAGUUUAAUGAUAUUAAAAUGUGACAUCUAUGCCAUAAAUCAGUUAUCAAAACGUUCCUCAUAGGAGUCUAUAUUUAAGAUCAAUGAAAUCUUUUCAAGAAGAACAAGUUCUUGCCUAUGACCCUGCUUAAAAAUCCCUGCCAAAUCUGUCUUUACAAAUUCAUUUAGCCAUGAAGGUACAACCCAGUCUUACUAACAUUUAUGACAUGUCUGCCAUGUGUUUGGUUCCUGAUAUUGAUAUCUGUGUUCUUUCAAGCCAUCCUCCUGAAUUGCCCACACAGCAGCCAGCCUACUUUAGAGAAACCACAGGAAACCAGUCUCUACAUAACACACAGUUAGACAAUUUGCUCUCAGGUUGACAACAGCCCUAACUAUGAUGAUGAUGUUAAUAAUGAAAAAUAAAUGAGUGGAUAAUGAUUAAGAAAAUAAAAAUGCAGAAAUUGACUGAAACUCUGUAUGUGAAUUGAGCUUUAUAACUCUAUAGCCAUCCUGAAAGAUGAUCUUUUUAAAAUCUUAGUUGAGGUAUAAAUGAUGUACAAUAAAAUUUCAGAUGUUUCAAGUGUACAAUUGAUCAGCUUUGACAGUUGAGCACCACUGUGAAACCUCCCCAUUCAGUAUGAUAAACAUGUCCCUCAGCUUCAAGAGUGUCCUUGCACUCUUUGGUUGUCCCUCCUCGUGUCCUAUACCAUCCCUAUCCUGGCCUAAGAAAGCACUCUUCAGUUUUCUGACACAAUAGAUUAGUUGACAAUCUCUUGAAUUUUACAAAAAUUAAAUCUUUGUGUAUAUAUCUGUGUGUGUGUCUAUUUUCUGCCUUCUUUCACUCGACAUAUUUUGAGAUUUAUCUAUAGUAUGACUUGUACAGUACAUUUCCAUUUACCACUAAGUAGCGUCAUAGAGAUAUAUCACGGUUUUGUCCACUUAGAUGUUGGUGGAUGAAUAUCACGGACUUGUCUUUGUAAAUACUCUGCUGUUCUCUUUCUUGGGUAGAUACUUAUGAGUGAAAUUACUGGCUCAUAGUGCCCAUAUGAUUUUCAGUGAAUUGUGGAGGAGAACUUAGUUGCUUUCAAUCUUCCCCAAUACUUCGUGUGGUCAGUCAUUUUUAUUUUAGACAUUGUAAUGAGUAUGUCAUGGUAUCUGGUUGCAGUUUUCAUUUGCACUUCUUAAAGGAAUAAAGAUGUUCCACAUUUUUUUAAGUGCCUAUUUGCCAUGUGUAUAUUUUCUUUGCUCGGUGUCUCUCCAAGUUGUUCAUUCAAUAUUGAUUAGGUUGUUUGUUUUCUUAUUGAGUUUAGAGAUUUCCUUAUAUAUAUUCUGGAUACAAGUCCUAUUUCAAACAGAAGAUUUGCAAAUAUUUUCUCCCAGUGUGUGGUUCGUCUUUCCAUUCCCUUAAUAGUGUCAUUCAAAGGCUAAAAUAUCUUUAUUUUGCUAAAGGUCAUGUUAUUAAUUUAUUGUUUGCAC